UACGUAAGGGGCAAGCGUUAUCCGGAUUUACUGGGUGUAAAGGGAGCGUAGACGGUGAGGCAAGUCUGAUGUGAAAACCCGGGGCUCAACUCCGGGAUUGCAUUGGAAACUGUCUGACUUGAGUACUGGAGGGGUAAGCGGAAUUCCUGGUGUAGCGGUGAAAUGCGUAGAUAUCAGGAGGAACACCGGUGGCGAAGGCGGCUUACUGGCCAGUUACUGACGCUCAUGCGCGAAAGCUGGGGUAGCGAACCGGAUUAGAUACCCGUGUAGUUCCUGAG
Molecule: ribosomal RNA, 278 nt
Filed under: uncultured prokaryote
Description: partial 16S ribosomal RNA
Rfam family: Bacterial small subunit ribosomal RNA
Source: RNAcentral